GGAGGCUGAGAUGGGUGAUCGCUUGAAGUCCAGGAGUUCGAGACCAGCCUGGGCAACACAGGGAGAACCCCCGCUCCCAUCUCUACAAAAAAUACAAAAAUUAGCCGGUUGUCAUUCCAGCUACUCAGAAGGCUGAGGUGGGAGGAUGGCUUGAACCUGGGAGGCAGAUGUUGCAGUAAGCCUAGAUCACGACACCGGUACUCCAGCCUGAGUACACGGCAUAUCCAAAACCACGUCAUCAAUCAGCACAUCUAGCCGUGCACAAUUUUGAUCACACAUCAUCAAUCAAAUGUCUUGAUUUGAUUUUCACUGUAAAUUAGCACAAUUUUUCUGCAGCCCCCAUCAACUCAAAACCAUCACAUAAUCUGUGCAAACGACAGGGCCAUGUGGGAUAAGUAAAAAACCAGGAUUCAAGAGAUGGACAUUUUAUUUUUCCCUUUUGAAAAAUUUUUAUUUCUAAGUUUCAGGGUACAUGUGCAGGAUGUGCAGGUUUGUUACAUAGGUAAAUGUGUGCCAUGGUGGUUUGCUGCACCUACCAACCCAUCGCCUAGAUAUCAAGCCUAGCAUGUAUUAGCUGUUUUUCCUAAUGCUCUCCCUCCCCUCACCCCGCCCCGUGACAGGCCCCAGUGUGUGUUGUUCUCCUCCCUGUGUCCAC
This 655-nucleotide long non-coding RNA is filed under the name Homo sapiens (human). Its description in RNAcentral is "non-protein coding lnc-RELL1-2:1". Lineage: Eukaryota; Metazoa; Chordata; Mammalia; Primates; Hominidae. The record is from RNAcentral.